This 72-nucleotide transfer RNA is filed under the name Pseudopus apodus (scheltopusik). Its description in RNAcentral is "tRNA-Val". It matches the Rfam family "tRNA". From Rfam's summary of the family: Transfer RNA (tRNA) molecules are approximately 80 nucleotides in length. Their secondary structure includes four short double-helical elements and three loops (D, anti-codon, and T loops). Lineage: Eukaryota; Metazoa; Chordata; Lepidosauria; Squamata; Anguidae. The record is from RNAcentral.
GGAAUACAAAAAGUAGCUUAAACAAAGCAUUUAACUUACAAUUAAAAAAUGUCAGGAGACCCUGACCUUUCU